GUGAAUCAUCGAAUUUUUGAACGCAAAUUGCACUCUCUUCGGAGAGUAUGCCUGUUUGAGGGUCAGCCUAAAAAAAAAAUCGACAUAGUCGCUUUUUCGCGGUGACAUUCGUCGGAAGUUGGUACAUCUUAAACCUUUGGAUUUUAAAUGGUUUAAAUUUUUCUUUACACUUUUCCUAGGGUUUCUAAUAUUUACU
RNAcentral lists this unclassified non-coding RNA (196 nucleotides) under Glomus sp. RNAcentral describes it as "partial contains 5.8S ribosomal RNA and internal transcribed spacer 2". The stretch from base 1 to 65 matches the Rfam family "5.8S ribosomal RNA", at positions 84 to 154 of the family's 154-position model. Lineage: Eukaryota; Fungi; Glomeromycota; Glomeromycetes; Glomerales; Glomeraceae. The record is from RNAcentral.